RNAcentral lists this ribosomal RNA (519 nucleotides) under Triticum aestivum (bread wheat). Its description in RNAcentral is "partial small subunit ribosomal RNA". The record is from RNAcentral. Lineage: Eukaryota; Viridiplantae; Streptophyta; Magnoliopsida; Poales; Poaceae.
AUGCCACUAAAGUUUUGGGAUGAGGCAUUCCUCACUGUCGUCCACAUCAUCAAUAUGCUUCCAAGCCAUGUCAUCAACAAUGAAACACCUACAGAAAAACUUCUCCAUACCAAACCAGACUACACUUCCCUUCGUGUGUUUGGCUGCGCUUGUUGGCCUAACCUUAGACCAUAUAACAAACACAAACUAAUAUUUCGAUCUAAGCAGUGUGUUUUCAUUGGCUACAGUGCCAUGCACAAAGGUGUCAAAUGCCUAGAUGUCUCUACUGGCCGUGUCAACAUUUCACGUGAUGUAGUCUUUGAUGAAACAAAGUUUCCCUUUGCUGAUCUCCACCCCAACGUCGGUGCCUUACUCCGUCAAGAAAUUCUGCUUUUGCCUUCUCAUCUCACCGGUUUUGAUCAAAGGGGGAAUAAUAAUUGUGUUGAUCCAUCAUUGACUAAUCCUCAUAACCAUGUGCAUGAGCUUUGUGUUGAUGCAGCCGAAGGAAGCAUGAGCAAAUAUGGUGAAGAAAUCAGCUAA